GGCUUGGGGGCUUGCUCCCGGGUUAGUGGCGAACGGGUGAGUAAUAUAUCGGAACAUAUCCGGAAGUGGGGGAUAACGUAGCGAAAGUUACGCUAAUACCGCAUAUGCCCUGAGGGGGAAAGGGGGGGAUCGCAAGACCUCUCGCUUUCGGAGUGGCCGAUACCGGAUUAGCUAGAUGGUGAGGUAAAGGCUCACCAUGGCGACGAUCCGUAGCGGGUCUGAGAGGACGACCCGCCACACUGGAACUGAGACACGGUCCAGACUCCUACGGGAGGCAGCAGUGGGGAAUUUUGGACAAUGGGCGCAAGCCUGAUCCAGCCAUACCGCGUGAGUGAAGAAGGCCUUCGGGUUGUAAAGCUCUUUCAGCCGGAAAGAAAUUGCUUCUAUUAAUACUAGGGGUAGAUGACGGUACCGGAAGAAGAAGCACCGGCUAACUACGUGCCAGCAGCCGCGGUAAUACGUAGGGUGCGAGCGUUAAUCGGAAUUACUGGGCGUAAAGCGUGCGCAGGCGGUUUGGUAAGACAGAUGUGAAAUCCCCGGGCUUAACCUGGGAACUGCAUUUGUGACUGCCAGACUAGAGUGUAGCAGAGGGGGGUAGAAUUCCACGUGUAGCAGUGAAAUGCGUAGAGAUGUGGAGGAAUACCGAUGGCGAAGGCAGCCCCCUGGGCUAACACUGACGCUCAUGCACGAAAGCGUGGGGAGCAAACAGGAUUAGAUACCCUGGUAGUCCACGCCCUAAACGAUGUCAACUAGGUGUUGGGGAAGGAGACUUCUUUAGUACCGCAGCUAACGCGUGAAGUUGACCGCCUGGGGAGUACGGUCGCAAGAUUAAAACUCAAAGGAAUUGACGGG
RNAcentral lists this ribosomal RNA (852 nucleotides) under uncultured bacterium. RNAcentral's name for it is "bacterial SSU rRNA". It matches the Rfam family "Bacterial small subunit ribosomal RNA", at positions 68 to 917 of the family's 1533-position model. The record is from RNAcentral.